CGUUCUGUAAGCCUGUGAAGGUGUGCUGUGAGGCAUGCUGGAGGUAUCAGAAGUGCGAAUGCUGACAUAAGUAACGAUAAAGCGGGUGAAAAGCCCGCUCGCCGGAAGACCAAGGGUUCCUGUCCAACGUUAAUCGGGGCAGGGUGAGUCGACCCCUAAGGCGAGGCCGAAAGGCGUAGUCGAUGGGAAACAGGUUAAUAUUCCUGUACUUGGUGUUACUGCGAAGGGGGGACGGAGAAGGCUAUGUUGGCCGGGCGACGGUUGUCCCGGUUUAAGCGUGUAGGCUGGUUUUCCAGGCAAAUCCGGAAAAUCAAGGCUGAGGCGUGAUGACGAGGCACUACGGUGCUGAAGCAACAAAUGCCCUGCUUCCAGGAAAAGCCUCUAAGCAUCAGGUAACAUCAAAUCGUACCCCAAACCGACACAGGUGGUCAGGUAGAGAAUACCAAGGCGCUUGAGAGAACUCGGGUGAAGGAACUAGGCAAAAUGGUGCCGUAACUUCGGGAGAAGGCACGCUGAUAUGUAGGUGAAGUCCCUCGCGGAUGGAGCUGAAAUCAGUCGAAGAUACCAGCUGGCUGCAACUGUUUAUUAAAAACACAGCACUGUGCAAACACGAAAGUGGACGUAUACGGUGUGACGCCUGCCCGGUGCCGGAAGGUUAAUUGAUGGGGUCAGCGCAAGCGAAGCUCUUGAUCGAAGCCCCGGUAAACGGCGGCCGUAACUAUAACGGUCCUAAGGUAGCGAAAUUCCUUGUCGGGUAAGUUCCGACCUGCACGAAUGGCGUAAUGAUGGCCAGGCUGUCUCCACCCGAGACUCAGUGAAAUUGAACUCGCUGUGAAGAUGCAGUGUACCCGCGGCAAGACGGAAAGACCCCGUGAACCUUUACUAUAGCUUGACACUGAACAUUGAGCCUUGAUGUGUAGGAUAGGUGGGAGGCUUUGAAGUGUGGACGCCAGUCUGCAUGGAGCCGACCUUGAAAUACCACCCUUUAAUGUUUGAUGUUCUAACGUUGACCCGUAAUCCGGGUUGCGGACAGUGUCUGGUGGGUAGUUUGACUGGGGCGGUCUCCUCCUAAAGAGUAACGGAGGAGCACGAAGGUUGGCUAAUCCUGGUCGGACAUCAGGAGGUUAGUGCAAUGGCAUAAGCCAGCUUGACUGCGAGCGUGACGGCGCGAGCAGGUGCGAAAGCAGGUCAUAGUGAUCCGGUGGUUCUGAAUGGAAGGGCCAUCGCUCAACGGAUAAAAGGUACUCCGGGGAUAACAGGCUGAUACCGCCCAAGAGUUCAUAUCGACGGCGGUGUUUGGCACCUCGAUGUCGGCUCAUCACAUCCUGGGGCUGAAGUAGGUCCCAAGGGUAUGGCUGUUCGCCAUUUAAAGUGGUACGCGAGCUGGGUUUAGAACGUCGUGAGACAGUUCGGUCCCUAUCUGCCGUGGGCGCUGGAGAACUGAGGGGGGCUGCUCCUAGUACGAGAGGACCGGAGUGGACGCAUCACUGGUGUUCGGGUUGUCAUGCCAAUGGCACUGCCCGGUAGCUAAAUGCGGAAGAGAUAAGUGCUGAAAGCA
Molecule: ribosomal RNA, 1558 nt
Filed under: Escherichia coli
Lineage: Bacteria; Pseudomonadati; Pseudomonadota; Gammaproteobacteria; Enterobacterales; Enterobacteriaceae
Description: partial 23S ribosomal RNA
Rfam family: Bacterial large subunit ribosomal RNA
Source: RNAcentral